GCGAGUUUUAACUGAGCGUUCAGUUACUUGACGUAGACCCGAAACCGGGCGACCUACCCAUGAGCAGGAUGAAGCGAAAGUAAAAUUUCGUGGAGGUCCGAACCCACGAGCGUUGAAAAGCUCGGGGAUGACUUGUGGGUAGCGGUGAAAUUCCAAUCGAGCCCGGAGAUAGCUGGUUCUCCCCGAAAUAGCUUUAGGGCUAGCCUCAAGGUGAGAGAUACGGAGGUAGAGCACUGAAUGUCCUAGGGGGUAUUGCACCUACCGAAGACUAUCAAACUCCGAAUGCCGUCAUCUUAUACUUGGGAGUCAGACUGUGGGUGAUAAGAUUCAUAGUCGAAAGGGCAACAGCCCAGAUCGUCAGCUAAGGUCCCUAAAUGUAAGUUAAGUGGUAAAGGAUGUGGGAUUGCACAGACAACCAGGAUGUUGGCUUAGAAGCAGCCACUCAUUCAAAGAGUGCGUAAUAGCUCACUGGUCGAGUGAUCCUGCGCCGAAGAUUUCCGGGGCUAAAACUUACUACCGAAGCUACGGCAUCAGUAAUGAUGGGUAGGGGAGCUUCCCAUACGGGUUGAAGCAUGACCGUAAGGA
RNAcentral lists this ribosomal RNA (585 nucleotides) under Clostridioides difficile. RNAcentral describes it as "partial 23S ribosomal RNA". It matches the Rfam family "Bacterial large subunit ribosomal RNA", at positions 677 to 1269 of the family's 2925-position model. The record is from RNAcentral. Lineage: Bacteria; Bacillati; Bacillota; Clostridia; Peptostreptococcales; Peptostreptococcaceae.